This is a non-coding RNA of Ornithorhynchus anatinus (platypus), 138 nucleotides long. NCBI's taxonomy places the organism in Eukaryota, Metazoa, Chordata, Mammalia, Monotremata, Ornithorhynchidae. The record is from Rfam.
CCCCUCUCAGCAUCGCACCUGGAGAGUUUCCAGUACUCUACCAGUUUAGGCUAUGGGUAGGAGAGUCAAGCAGAGGCAUACCCAUUCCAUUCCUAGCUUGGGCAGUGGCUAGUGAGUGUAAAGCCAUCUGCUACAAGU